Bathycoccus prasinos is the source of this 71-nucleotide transfer RNA. It matches the Rfam family "tRNA". From Rfam's summary of the family: Transfer RNA (tRNA) molecules are approximately 80 nucleotides in length. NCBI's taxonomy places the organism in Eukaryota, Viridiplantae, Chlorophyta, Mamiellophyceae, Mamiellales, Bathycoccaceae. The record is from Rfam.
GCGGGUAUAGAUUAAUGGUAGAUUAUCUGUUUUCCACACAGAAGAUAUGGGUUCGAUUCCCUUUACCCGUA